UUAGUACGCCCUCCGUCCGGAAUUACUUGUCGCAGAAAUGGAUAGAAAUGGAUGCAUUUAGAUGUAUUUUAGUUCUAGAUUCAUCCAUUUCCAUGACAAGUAAUUCGGGACGGAUGGAGUAUUAU
Non-coding RNA from Hordeum vulgare subsp. vulgare (domesticated barley), 125 nucleotides. NCBI's taxonomy places the organism in Eukaryota, Viridiplantae, Streptophyta, Magnoliopsida, Poales, Poaceae. The record is from Rfam.